GAGAAUGAUAACUUGCGACGAAGUGACAUAUGAUGUUAUAGUGACGGCACACCCAAAAUAUGGACCAUAUUUGAACAAAAAAAUUGAUUUUUAUGAUGAGAUGGCUCUUGUUGUUGGUCAAGAUAUGACAACAGGGAGUUUUGCUAGAACCUUUGCUGAUAUAGAGUUGGAUGAUGUUAAUGAAGGUUCAAUGCCGUUAAAUAUCGACACUCAAGAUAUCGAUGAGGAAAAAACAAAAUUAUCUUCAUCUGGUACAUCAAAACGCAAAAG
Molecule: long non-coding RNA, 270 nt
Organism: Hibiscus syriacus
Lineage: Eukaryota; Viridiplantae; Streptophyta; Magnoliopsida; Malvales; Malvaceae
Exons: 2
Source: RefSeq, a predicted model, not a curated record